GAUGAAGAACGUAGCGAAAUGCGAUAAGUAAUGUGAAUUGCAGAAUCCAGUGAAUCAUCGAAUCUUUGAACGCACAUUGCGCCCGCCAGCAUUCUGGCGGGCAUGCCUGUUCGAGCGUCAUUUCAACCCUCGACCUCCCUUUGGGGAAGUCGGCGUUGGGGACCGGCAGCACACCGCCGGCCCUGAAAUGGAGUGGCGGCCCGUCCGCGGCGACCUCUGCGUAGUAAACCAACUCGCACCGGAACCCCGACGUGGCCACGCCGUAAAACACCCAACUUCUGAACGUUUGACCUCGGAUCAGGUAGGAAUACCCGCUGAACUUAAGCAUAUCAAUAAGCGGAGGA
Molecule: unclassified non-coding RNA, 344 nt
Filed under: soil metagenome
Description: partial contains 5.8S ribosomal RNA, internal transcribed spacer 2, and large subunit ribosomal RNA
Rfam family: 5.8S ribosomal RNA (bases 1-120)
Source: RNAcentral